RNAcentral lists this long non-coding RNA (340 nucleotides) under Capsicum annuum. RNAcentral describes it as "long non-coding RNA (CANN_LNC006068)". The record is from RNAcentral. Lineage: Eukaryota; Viridiplantae; Streptophyta; Magnoliopsida; Solanales; Solanaceae.
UGCCUCUUUUCAAAAAGAUGAGUCUGACGAAGACAUCACUUCUUUAAAUGUUUGAGGCUCAUUUUCUAAGAGAAAUGUUACAAAAUCCGACCCAAACGAAGUUGACGUUCUUUGACGUGUACUAUGUCUUGGAUUUUCUCAUUAUGUACAUUCUCACUUCGUUCAUCUCAAGGUCGUUUAGAUCCUCCACUAGACUGUUCAUGUCUAAUUUUAUACGGGUAAAUAUUUUCAAAGAAUUCAGCAUUAUCUGAUUCAAUUACCGUAUUUUCAUUUAUAUCCGAAUGUUCGGAUUUAUGAACCAAAAAUCGACAUGCUUUACUGCUUUUAGCAUAUCCUAUGA